CCUUUUUUUCUAUGUACAAUGUCCUAAAGUUCCAAUAAUCUUUUUUUUAUUUUUCACUAAUUUUCGAAAGAGUUACCUCAUAAGAAAAUCGUUUUGGAUUUUGGAAUUAAUACCAUAAAGAAAACCUUUUAAGGAAGUACUGAACGAAAAUUCUCUUCUUUUGAAUUUCUUGUCCUAAUAUACUAAUGGAAGUAUAGAAAUAAAUUUUUUAAAUUUCUGGAUAUGAAUUUCCUAAUAUAAAACCACCUCAAACAUUCUUUUCUUUUCUUUCCCUUGAUUUCUAGGAGUAAUAUUUCUAAUGAAAACUUCUAACGGAAAUAUAAAUACAUAAAAUAUAUUUUUUAGAUUUUUGAGUUACAAUACAUCUUUCAAAUACAAAAUAAAAAGUCCAAUAACUAAAACUUGACAUUACUGUACCAAACUAGAAAGUAAAGUAGGACAUAAAAAAACAUACUAAAAAAAUGACAAUAAAAAUAAAAAUGAAUCUCCUUAAGUAACUCUUGAAUGUAGUGGUCAUGGGGUAUCUGUCAUGCUCAAACUGCGGUAAGUAGAUCCACAACUAUAUGAGAAAAUUUAAACCAAUACUAUGUGAGACAAUAGCAUUCACUAUUAGGUACAUGGAAGACAUGGUUGCAAUUAUUGCAAUUAUUUUUGUAAAAUGACUUAUUUAGUCAAAAGGUGGCUAGAAGUGCGAAAUUUGGCUAAGCCCCCGCAAAGCCAAGAACCUAAGAUUUACUAGAAAGAGCGGACCCUAUGUGGGUUGCUUAUGUAUCACGCCCUGAAAGAUGAGAAUCAGGUUUGUGUAGUUCGGGCAAAUUGGAUAAAGGCAAGAAUUAAAGAAACAACUAAUUGUUACAGAAAAUAUUUACUUUUGUCUUCUUUUUUUGAAAAAUG
This 894-nucleotide long non-coding RNA is filed under the name Nicotiana benthamiana. RNAcentral's name for it is "long non-coding RNA (NBEN_LNC010281)". The record is from RNAcentral. Lineage: Eukaryota; Viridiplantae; Streptophyta; Magnoliopsida; Solanales; Solanaceae.